GUCCUGCUUCAUUAAGACAUACACUAAAAUUAGGACUAGACAGAGAAGAUUAGCUUGGCCCCUGCACAAAGAUGACAUGCAAAUUAUAAGGCAUUAAGUGCAACUCCCUAUUCAU
Small nuclear RNA from Dipodomys ordii (Ord's kangaroo rat), 115 nucleotides. The record is from Ensembl. NCBI's taxonomy places the organism in Eukaryota, Metazoa, Chordata, Mammalia, Rodentia, Heteromyidae.